Fukomys damarensis (Damara mole-rat) is the source of this 72-nucleotide non-coding RNA. Lineage: Eukaryota; Metazoa; Chordata; Mammalia; Rodentia; Bathyergidae. The record is from Rfam.
AGGGGUGUAGCUUAGUGGUAGAGCACUUGCCUGGCGUGCAUAGUGCCCUAGGUUCAAUUCCCAGCAAUCCAA